CACACCGCCCGUCACAUCACGAAAGUGGUUUGUACUAGAAGUCGUGAUCCUAACCCGUCGCAAGACGGGAGGUAACGCCCAAGGUAUGAACCAUGAUUGGGGUG
This 104-nucleotide ribosomal RNA is filed under the name uncultured bacterium. RNAcentral's name for it is "partial 16S ribosomal RNA". It matches the Rfam family "Bacterial small subunit ribosomal RNA", at positions 1386 to 1482 of the family's 1533-position model. The record is from RNAcentral.